Molecule: ribosomal RNA, 609 nt
Filed under: Triticum aestivum (bread wheat)
Lineage: Eukaryota; Viridiplantae; Streptophyta; Magnoliopsida; Poales; Poaceae
Description: partial small subunit ribosomal RNA
Source: RNAcentral
AUGAACAUCGCCCUUUUAUCCCAGUGGCUCUGGCGUACUUCGCAAGGGCAGGGUGGCCUCUGGUUAGACAUCAUCCGGAACAAAUACCUUCAUGGGAAGCCCCUGGCCUUCUGUCAGCGCUCGGGUGGCUCCUAGUUCUGGCAGUCGGUCAUCCAACUACUCCCGGUUCUUUGCAUUGGGACAUCCAUCUCGGUUGGAUCUGGGGCUGCGAUUCUGUUCUGGUUCAACCAUUGGGCAGACGACACCCCCUUCACCGCGCACUUCCCUGACCUAUUCUCCAUCGCGGUCGACCCUUGGAUCUCCGUUGAGAGGGCCCUUAUUGACUUAGGGCGCCUUGCCUUCUAGAGACCAUUUGGGCCUCCGGACUCUGCCGCUUGGCACAAGUUGCUCGACUGUGUCGCCCUCCAGGAGCCUAGGGUGGACGCUUGCCCGGAUUUAGCCCAGCGGCGCCUUGAGUCAUCUGGCCAAUUUUCCACCAAAUCCCUCUACCAGGCCAUUGCCCCUUCCUCCGCCCCUUCCCUUAUGGCCUUUUGGUCCAUCCGCCUGCCUCUGAAGAUCCAAAUCUUCAUGUGGCAAUGGAUCCGUGGGCGGACUCCUUCUAGAGUGUAG